GCGGCAGGCUUAACACAUGCAAGUCGAACGGUAACAGAAAGUAGCUUGCUACUUUGCUGACGAGUGGCGGACGGGUGAGUAAUGCUUGGGAAUAUGCCUUAUGGUGGGGGACAACAGUUGGAAACGACUGCUAAUACCGCAUAACAUCUCCGGAUCAAAGUGGGGGACCUUCGGGCCUCACGCCAUAAGAGUAGCCCAAGUGGGAUUAGCUAGUUGGUAAGGUAAUGGCUUACCAAGGCGACGAUCCCUAGUUGGUCUUAGAGGAUGACCAGCCACACUGGAACUGAGACACGGUCCAGACUCCUACGGGAGGCAGCAGUGGGGAAUAUUGCACAAUGGGCGCAAGCCUGAUGCAGCCAUGCCGCGUGUGUGAAGAAGGCUUUCGGGUUGUAAAGCACUUUCAGCGAGGAGGAAAGGGUAAAUCUUAAUAGGGUUUAUCUGUGACGUUACUCGCAGAAGAAGCACCGGCUAACUCCGUGCCAGCAGCCGCGGUAAUACGGAGGGUGCGAGCGUUAAUCGGAAUUACUGGGCGUAAAGCGCGCGUAGGCGGUUAAUUAAGUCAGAUGUGAAAUCCCAGGGCUCAACCUUGGAACUGCAUUUGAAACUGGUUAACUAGAGUUUUGUAGAGGGUGGUAGAAUUUCAGGUGUAGCGGUGAAAUGCGUAGAGAUCUGAAGGAAUACCAGUGGCGAAGGCGGCCACCUGGACAAAGACUGACGCUGAGGCGCGAAGGCGUGGGGAGCAAACGGGAUUAGAUACCCCGGUAGUCCACGCAGUAAACGAUGUCUAUUAGAAUUUUGUGGCUAUAUGCCGUGGGAUUCAAAGCUAACGCAUUAAAUAGACCG
Molecule: ribosomal RNA, 843 nt
Filed under: uncultured Psychromonas sp.
Lineage: Bacteria; Pseudomonadati; Pseudomonadota; Gammaproteobacteria; Alteromonadales; Psychromonadaceae
Description: bacterial SSU rRNA
Rfam family: Bacterial small subunit ribosomal RNA
Source: RNAcentral